RNAcentral lists this ribosomal RNA (746 nucleotides) under uncultured bacterium. RNAcentral's name for it is "bacterial SSU rRNA". It matches the Rfam family "Bacterial small subunit ribosomal RNA", at positions 118 to 861 of the family's 1533-position model. The record is from RNAcentral.
UCGGAACGUGCCCAGUAGCGGGGGAUAACUACUCGAAAGAGUAGCUAAUACCGCAUACGCCCUACGGGGGAAAGGGGGGGAUCGCAAGACCUCUCACUAUUGGAGCGGCCGAUAUCGGAUUAGCUAGUUGGUGAGGUAAAGGCUCACCAAGGCGACGAUCCGUAGCUGNNNNNAGAGGACGACCAGCCACACUGGGACUGAGACACGGCCCAGACUCCUACGGGAGGCAGCAGUGGGGAAUUUUGGACAAUGGGGGAAACCCUGAUCCAGCCAUUCCGCGUGUGCGAUGAAGGCCUUCGGGUUGUAAAGCACUUUUGGCAGGAAAGAAAUCGCAUCAAUUAAUACUUGGUGUGGAUGACGGUNNCUGCAGAAUANNCACCGGCUAACUACGUGCCAGCAGCCGCGGUAAUACGUAGGGUGCAAGCGUUAAUCGGAAUUACUGGGCGUAAAGCGUGCGCAGGCGGUUCGGAAAGAGAGGUGUGAAAUCCCAGGGCUCAACCUUGGAACUGCACUUUUAACUACCGAGCUAGAGUAUGUCAGAAGGGGGUGGAAUUCCGCGUGUAGCAGUGAAAUGCGUAGAUAUGCGGAGGAACACCGAUGGCGAAGGCAGCCCCCUGGGAUAAUACUGACGCUCAUGCACGAAAGCGUGGGGAGCAAACAGGAUUAGAUACCCUAGUAGUCCACGCCCUANACGACGUCAANNNNCUGUUGGGGCCUUCGGGCCUUAGUAGCGCAGCUAACGCGUG